UGAGGUGCUUGCACCUUAUCUUAGCGGCGGACGGGUGAGUAAUGCUUAGGAAUCUGCCUAUUAGUGGGGGACAACAUUCCGAAAGGAAUGCUAAUACCGCAUACGCCCUACGGGGGAAAGCAGGGGAUCUUCGGACCUUGCGCUAAUAGAUGAGCCUAAGUCGGAUUAGCUAGUUGGUGGGGUAAAGGCCUACCAAGGCGACGAUCUGUAGCGGGUCUGAGAGGAUGAUCCGCCACACUGGGACUGAGACACGGCCCAGACUCCUACGGGAGGCAGCAGUGGGGAAUAUUGGACAAUGGGCGGAAGCCUGAUCCAGCCAUGCCGCGUGUGUGAAGAAGGCCUUUUGGUUGUAAAGCACUUUAAGUGAGGAGGAGGCUCUCUUAGUUAAUACCUAGGAUGAGUGGACGUUACUCGCAGAAUAAGCACCGGCUAACUCUGUGCCAGCAGCCGCGGUAAUACAGAGGGUGCGAGCGUUAAUCGGAUUUACUGGGCGUAAAGCGUGCGUAGGCGGCUGAUUAAGUCGGAUGUGAAAUCCCUGAGCUUAACUUAGGAAUUGCAUUCGAUACUGGUCAGCUAGAGUAUGGGAGAGGAUGGUAGAAUUCCAGGUGUAGCGGUGAAAUGCGUAGAGAUCUGGAGGAAUACCGAUGGCGAAGGCAGCCAUCUGGCCUAAUACUGACGCUGAGGUACGAAAGCAUGGGGAGCAAACAGGAUUAGAUACCCUGGUAGUCCAUGCCGUAAACGAUGUCUACUAGCCGUUGGGGCCUUUGAGGCUUUAGUGGCGCAGCUAACGCGAUAAGUAGACCGCCUGGGGAGUACGGUCGCAAGACUAAAACUCAAAUGAAUUGACGGGGGCCCGCACAA
RNAcentral lists this ribosomal RNA (861 nucleotides) under Acinetobacter parvus. RNAcentral's name for it is "bacterial SSU rRNA". It matches the Rfam family "Bacterial small subunit ribosomal RNA", at positions 72 to 928 of the family's 1533-position model. Lineage: Bacteria; Pseudomonadati; Pseudomonadota; Gammaproteobacteria; Moraxellales; Moraxellaceae. The record is from RNAcentral. RNAcentral also lists the same sequence under 1 other name.